Molecule: long non-coding RNA, 525 nt
Organism: Zalophus californianus (California sea lion)
Lineage: Eukaryota; Metazoa; Chordata; Mammalia; Carnivora; Otariidae
Exons: 5
Source: RefSeq, a predicted model, not a curated record
GCAUGCGCAUUGCUGCCCACGCUCUGCGAGCUGAGGUGAGAUCCAUCGAGGCGGCGUGUUCUUUGUGCGGUGAGCUUUCUCGCUAGGAGAAUUCAACUGGGUGAGCUAUGAGUGCCCGAGUCAGAUCCAGAUCCAUGCAAAGAAAUGAUGAUCCAGGGUCUAAACAGCAGGAGCAGCAACCCAGUGAUGAGCAACCUACAAAAAAGGAGGCACCACCAGAGAGUCAGGAUAUUCUACCUGACCAAGGGAAGGAAGUUGAACCAGGACCUGUGGCACAAGGACAGGACCUGGAAGCUGAUCUCCAGGAGCUGCCUCAGGCAAAGGCUGGGGUUAUAACUGAAGAUGACCCUGAUUCAAGGGGCCAAGUCUACCCAUCUUAGAGCCCAUUAAAAUGCCGGAAGCAGGUGAAGGACUACUCCAGAUUUAAACAAGGACAAGCUGAAACAUGCAGACUACUCUUAUGUGGGGUACUUCACUGUUGUAGUUCUCUCAAUAAAGUGUUACAGACGUUCCACAAAGAAUCUU